UGGGUUGGUGGGGGCAUUUUUUUCCACUUCAUGUUCUCAUUCAGAUGAAAACAGCUCACUGAGAGAAUGUGCCUGUUCUUCAAGGUUUAAGGUCUCUGGCUCUGCCCACUGUGAGCUUCUUUUUCUAAGAUGUCGAAGGCUUCGUGCAUUCUCUGUGGCAAUCGAGGAUAUCAUUUUUGGGAAAUUAGUCAAGAAUUAUUUUCUUUUUAAUAAUUUAAACCCAGCGAAAUUGAAAGAGUUUGUGACAUGUGUGACUUUGGUCAAGCCUCGAAUUUGAUCUCACGCAGUCAAAUUUGAACUCCGGUCCUGUUAUUUACGGAUAAUAUCAGCACGCAGGAUUUUUAAAAACAAAGGUCAUCAGACAUGUCUGCAGGAAUAUGCAUAUUUUUUUGCUCGAUUCUGCUGCUUGCUGGCGUCUUUGUGUCCGUCUCUGCAGACCAGAAAAGCAUCACAGUUCAGUCUGGACAGAACAUCAGUCUACCAUGUCAAGCUCCAAAUGAUAAGGGUUCCAUCAGAGUGGUAAAGUGGACCAAACCUGACCUACAAAAUAAAAAUGUAUAUUUGUAUGUGGAUCAGCGAUUUGAUCUCGAGGAUCAGAAUCCAUCUUUUAAGAAUCGGGUGGAUCUGCAGGACAGACAGAUGAAAAAUGGAAACGUGUCUUUGAUUCUGAACAAUGUGACAAUUAAUGACACUGGAACAUACGAGUGUACUGUUACCCAGAAAAAAGACCUCAGCCCUUACACCACUACUAUAACUCUUGACCUGGACGUUAUUAAUUCUAAAGGUCAGACAUUCCUACCAGUAGGACGAAUUGUAAGUGGUUCUUUUGGACUGGCCGUUGGUCUGUAUGUUCCUGUUGUGCUUCUUGUUGUUGCUUUUGUUUUUUAGCUACAGAAAAUUUAAAGAAAACAGUCAGUGUUCAAACCAAGCUC
Oreochromis niloticus (Nile tilapia) is the source of this 932-nucleotide long non-coding RNA. RefSeq lists it as uncharacterized. The transcript has 3 exons. The record is from RefSeq and is a predicted model, not a curated record. Lineage: Eukaryota; Metazoa; Chordata; Actinopteri; Cichliformes; Cichlidae.